Molecule: transfer RNA, 73 nt
Rfam family: tRNA
About the family: Transfer RNA (tRNA) molecules are approximately 80 nucleotides in length. Their secondary structure includes four short double-helical elements and three loops (D, anti-codon, and T loops).
Source: Rfam
GCCGACUUAGCUCAGUUGGUAGAGCAUCUGAUUUGUAAUCAGAGGGUCGGGCGUUCAAAUCGUCUAGUCGGCA